RNAcentral lists this ribosomal RNA (519 nucleotides) under uncultured eukaryote. Its description in RNAcentral is "bacterial SSU rRNA". It matches the Rfam family "Eukaryotic small subunit ribosomal RNA", at positions 1161 to 1706 of the family's 1831-position model. The record is from RNAcentral.
AGGGCACCACCAGGAGUGGAGCCUGCGCUUUAUUUUGACUCACCACGGAAAAACUCACCCGGCCCGGACACCAUAAGGAUUGACAGAUUGAUAGCUUUUUCAUGAUUUGGUGGAGGGGGGGGCAUGGCCGGUCUUAGUUCGGGGAGUGAUUUGUUUGGUUUAUUCCAAUAACAAGAGAGACUCUAGCCUACUAAAUAGUCUGCACAUUGCUUCUGUGUUGCAGUACUUCUUAGAGGGAUUUUCGGCGUACAGCCGCACGAGAUUGAGCUAUAACAGGUCUGUGAUGCCCUUAGAUGUCCGGGGCUGCACGCGCGCUACACUGGAGAAAUCCUCGGGCUUGUCCAUGCAGGAAAGAAGGAGGUAAACCCCUGAGUAUUUGCCGUGAUGGGGAUCGGAUAUUGUAAUUAUUUUUCGCGUACGAGGAGUACCAAGAAAAUGAGAGGCAUCAUUCUCGUUGAUUACCUCCCUGCCCUUUGUACUACCGCCCGUCGCUGCCGCUGACUGAUAGGAUUCGAGAAU